UACGAAGGGGGCUAGCGUUGCUCGGAAUUACUGGGCGUAAAGGGCGCGUAGGCGGGUCGUCAAGUUGGGGGUGAAAGCCCAGGGCUCAACCCUGGAACUGCCUUCAAAACUGGCGACCUAGAGUAUGGUAGAGGUGUGUGGAACUCCGAGUGUAGAGGUGAAAUUCGUAGAUAUUCGGAAGAACACCAGUGGCGAAGGCGACACACUGGGCCAUUACUGACGCUGAGGCGCGAAAGCGUGGGGAGCAAAC
Molecule: ribosomal RNA, 250 nt
Filed under: uncultured bacterium
Lineage: Bacteria
Description: partial 16S ribosomal RNA
Rfam family: Bacterial small subunit ribosomal RNA
Source: RNAcentral